RNAcentral lists this ribosomal RNA (253 nucleotides) under uncultured prokaryote. RNAcentral's name for it is "partial 16S ribosomal RNA". It matches the Rfam family "Bacterial small subunit ribosomal RNA", at positions 524 to 776 of the family's 1533-position model. The record is from RNAcentral.
UACAGAGACGGCAAGCGUUGUUCGGAUUCAUUGGGCGUAAAGGGUGCGUAGGCGGUCGGCUAAGUCGGAUGUGAAAUCUCACAGCCCAACUGUGAGCGGUCAUUCGAAACUAGUCGGCUUGAGGACUGGAGAGGAGACUGGAAUGGUCGGUGUAGUGGUGAAAUGCAUAGAUAUGACCCGGAACACCUAUUGCGAAGGCAGCAGGCUAAACAAAUAUUGACGCUGAGGCUCGAAAGCGUGGGGAUCAAACAGG